AUUGAACGCUGGCGGCAUGCCUUACACAUGCAAGUCGAACGGCAGCAUGAUCUAGCUUGCUCGAUUGAUGGCGAGUGGCGAACGGGUGAGUAAUACAUCGGAACGUGCCCUGUAGUGGGGGAUAACUAGUCGAAAGAUUAGCUAAUACCGCAUACGACCUGAGGGUGAAAGUGGGGGACCGCAAGGCCUCAUGCUAUAGUAGCGGCCGAUGUCUGAUUAGCUAGUUGUUGAGGUAAAGGCUCACCAAGGCGACGAUCAGUAGCUGGUCUGAGAGGACGAUCAGCGACACUGGGACUGAGACACGGGCCAGACUCCUACGGGAGGCAGCAGUGGGGAAUUUUGGACAAGGGGCGAAAGCCUGAUCCAGCAAUGCCGAGUGUGUGAAGAAGGCCUUCGGGUUGUAAAGCACUUUUGUCCGGAAAGAAAUGGAUCUGGUUAAUACCUGGGGUCGAUGACGGGACCGGAAGAAUAAGGACCGGCUAACUACGUG
This 490-nucleotide ribosomal RNA is filed under the name uncultured bacterium. RNAcentral's name for it is "partial 16S ribosomal RNA". It matches the Rfam family "Bacterial small subunit ribosomal RNA", at positions 30 to 507 of the family's 1533-position model. The record is from RNAcentral.